This 504-nucleotide ribosomal RNA is filed under the name uncultured bacterium. RNAcentral's name for it is "bacterial SSU rRNA". It matches the Rfam family "Bacterial small subunit ribosomal RNA", at positions 9 to 526 of the family's 1533-position model. The record is from RNAcentral.
GAGUUUGAUCCUGGCUCAGGACGAACGCUGGCGGCGCGCCUAACACAUGCAAGUCGAACGGAGCUUAGAGAGCUUGCUUUUUAAGCUUAGUGGCGAACGGGUGAGUAACGCGUGAGUAACCUGCCCUGGAGUGGGGGACAACAGUUGGAAACGACUGCUAAUACCGCAUAAGCCCACGAUCCGGCAUCGGAUUGAGGGAAAAGGAUUUAUUCGCUUCAGGAUGGACUCGCGUCCAAUUAGCUAGUUGGUGAGGUAACGGCCCACCAAGGCGACGAUUGGUAGCCGGACUGAGAGGUUGAACGGCCACAUUGGGACUGAGACACGGCCCAGACUCCUACGGGAGGCAGCAGUGGGGAAUAUUGCACAAUGGGGGAAACCCUGAUGCAGCAACGCCGCGUGAGUGAUGACGGCCUUCGGGUUGUAAAGCUCUGUCUUCAGGGACGAUAAUGACGGUACCUGAGGAGGAAGCCACGGCUAACUACGUGCCAGCCGCCGCGGUAAUUC